RNAcentral lists this ribosomal RNA (253 nucleotides) under uncultured bacterium. RNAcentral's name for it is "partial 16S ribosomal RNA". It matches the Rfam family "Bacterial small subunit ribosomal RNA", at positions 524 to 776 of the family's 1533-position model. The record is from RNAcentral.
GACAGAGGCCUCAAGCGUUAGGCGGAAUCACUGGGCUUAAAGCGUGUGUAGGCGGAUCGUUAAGUACCUUGUGAAAUCUCACGGCUCACCCGUGGAACUGCUGGGUAUACUGGCGGUCUUGGGCCAACUAGGGGCAGCUGGAACAAGCGGUGGAGCGGUGAAAUGCGUAGAUAUCGCUUGGAACGCCGAAGGUGAAAACAGGCUGCUGGGGUUGUGCCGACGCUGAGACACGAAAGCCAGGGGAGCAAACGGG